UGGGGAAUAUUGGACAAUGGGCGAAAGCCUGAUCCAGCAAUGCCGCGUGGGUGAAGAAGGUCUUCGGAUUGUAAAGCCCUUUCGGCGGGGACGAUGAUGACGGUACCCGCAGAAGAAGCCCCGGCUAACUCCGUGCCAGCAGCCGCGGUAAUACGAAGGGGGCUAGCGUUGCUCGGAAUGACUGGGCGUAAAGGGCGCGUAGGCGGCUCAUAGAGUCGGGCGUGAAAUUCCUGGGCUUAACCUGGGGGCUGCGUUCGAUACCUAUGGACUGGAGUGAGGAAGAGGGUCGUGGAAUUCCCAGUGUAGAGGUGAAAUUCGUAGAUAUUGGGAAGAACACCAGUGGCGUAGGCGGCGACCUGGUCCUUUACUGACGCUGAGGCGCGAAAGCGUGGGGAGCAAAC
RNAcentral lists this ribosomal RNA (401 nucleotides) under uncultured bacterium. RNAcentral's name for it is "bacterial SSU rRNA". It matches the Rfam family "Bacterial small subunit ribosomal RNA", at positions 355 to 773 of the family's 1533-position model. The record is from RNAcentral.